RNAcentral lists this ribosomal RNA (383 nucleotides) under uncultured bacterium. RNAcentral describes it as "bacterial SSU rRNA". It matches the Rfam family "Bacterial small subunit ribosomal RNA", at positions 28 to 399 of the family's 1533-position model. The record is from RNAcentral.
GAUGAACGCUAGCGGCAGGCUUAAUACAUGCAAGUCGUGGGGCAGCAUGUCCCGCAGCAAUGCGGGAUGAUGGCGACCGGCAAACGGGGUGCGGAACACGUACACAACCUUCCUUUAAGUGGGGAAUAGGCCAGGGAAACUUGGGUUAAUACCCCGUAAUAUAUAGAAGCGGCAUCGUUUUUAUAUUAUAGCAGCAAUGCGCUUGAAGAUGGGUGUGCGGCUGAUAGAUAGUUGGCGGGGUAAUGGCCCACCAAGUCGACGAUCAGUAACUGGUGUGAGAGCACGACCAGUCACACGGGCACUGAGACACGGGCCCGACUCCUACGGGGAGGCAGCAGUAAGGAAUAUUGGUCAAUGGACGCAAGUCUGAACCAGCCAUGCCG